This 1929-nucleotide ribosomal RNA is filed under the name Franzmannia qiaohouensis. Its description in RNAcentral is "partial 23S ribosomal RNA". It matches the Rfam family "Bacterial large subunit ribosomal RNA", at positions 1 to 2004 of the family's 2925-position model. Lineage: Bacteria; Pseudomonadati; Pseudomonadota; Gammaproteobacteria; Oceanospirillales; Halomonadaceae. The record is from RNAcentral.
AAUCAAGCGCGAUAAGGGCGUUUGGUGGAUGCCUUGGCAGCAAGAGGCGAUGAAGGACGUGAUACCCUGCGAUAAGCCAUGGGGAGCCGGGAAUAGGCUUUGAUCCAUGGAUCUCCGAAUGGGGAAACCCACCUGACUGUUUGCUGUUGUUAUCCUUGCGGAUAUCAACAGUGGGCAUAACCAGGUAUCUUUUACCUGAAUACAUAGGGUUUAAGAAGCGAACCCGGGGAACUGAAACAUCUAAGUACCCGGAGGAAAGGAAAUCAACCGAUACUCCGCUAGUAGUGGCGAGCGAACGCGGACCAGCCGAGCCUUGAGGAUGACCAGAACAGACUGGAAAGUCUGGCCAGAGCGGGUGACAGCCCCGUAUGGGAAGUCUGAUGGGACAUAUUAAGUAGGGCGGGACACGUGAAAUCCUGUCUGAAGAUCGGGGGACCACCCUCGAAGGCUAAGUACUCCUUGCUGACCGAUAGCGAACCAGUACCGUGAGGGAAAGGUGAAAAGCACCCCGACGAGGGGAGUGAAACAGUUUCUGAAACCGGACGCCUACAAGCAGUCGGAGGGGCCUUUAUUGAGCCCUGACGGCGUACCUUUUGUAUAAUGGGUCAACGACUUGGUCUAUCUAGCAAGCUUAAGCCGUUAGGUGUAGGCGCAGCGAAAGCGAGUCUUAAAUGGGCGCAUGAGUUAGAUGGAUCAGACCCGAAACCGAGUGAUCUAGGCAUGAGCAGGAUGAAGGUUGGGUAACACCAACUGGAGGUCCGAACCCACACCUGUUGAAAAAGGUCGGGAUGACUUGUGCCUAGGGGUGAAAGGCCAAUCAAACUCGGAGAUAGCUGGUUCUCCGCGAAAGCUAUUUAGGUAGCGCCUCGGACGUAUCCCUCGGGGGGUAGAGCACUGCAUGGAUGAUGGGGGCCCACAGCCUUACUGAGUCUAAGCAAACUCCGAAUACCCGAGAGGACUAUCCGGGAGACACACGGCGGGUGCUAACGUCCGUCGUGGAGAGGGAAACAACCCUGACCAACAGCUAAGGCCCCCAAUUCGUGGCUAAGUGGGAAAGCAUGUGAGACUUCCAAAACAACCAGGAGGUUGGCUUAGAAGCAGCCAUCCUUUAAAGAUAGCGUAACAGCUCACUGGUCUAAUCAAGAGGUCUUGCGGCGAAGAUGUAACGGGGCUCAAGCCACGAGCCGAAGCUUUGGAUGUGCAUUUAUGCACGUGGUAGCGGAGCGUUCUGUGAUAUAGGACGCUGCCUCUUCUGACCCUUCGGGGGCAGCGGAGGCAUUGUUCUGACUGUGAAGCUGGGCCGUGAGGCAUCCGGUGGAGUGAUCAGAAGUGAGAAUGUUGACAUGAGUAGCGACAAACAGGGUGAGAGACCCUGUCGCCGAAAGUCCAAGGGUUCCUGCUUAAAGCUAAUCUGAGCAGGGUAAGCCGGCCCCUAAGGCGAGGCCGAAAGGCGUAGUCGAUGGGAACCAGGUUAAUAUUCCUGGGCCAGGAGAUGGUGACGGAUCCCGAGGGUAGUUCGAUCUUAACGGAUUGAUCGGGCUGCUUAGGGGUUCCUGGAAAUAGCCCUCCACAAGACCGUACCCUAAACCGACACAGGUGGACUGGUAGAGAAUACCAAGGCGCUUGAGAGAACCACAUUUAAGGAACUCGGCAAAAUACCUCCGUAAGUUCGCGAGAAGGAGGCCCGAUGGGUGCGCAAGCAUCGGUCGGGGGCACAAACCAGGGGGUGGCGACUGUUUACUAAAAACACAGGGCUCUGCGAAGCCGCAAGGCGACGUAUAGGGUCUGACGCCUGCCCGGUGCCGGAAGGUUAAAAGGAGAUGUGCAAGCAUUGAAUUGAAGCCCCGGUAAACGGCGGCCGUAACUAUAACGGUCCUAAGGUAGCGAAAUUCCUUGUCGGGUAAGUUCCGACCUGCACGAAUGGCGUAA